CUAAAUGGAGCUAGGUAUGGCUUAUGAUGAGCCUGUGCAAAUUUUUGAAUUGCUCUGUGCUUGCUUGACGCUUUGUGACUCGAUCCUUGCAAUUCCUACAGUGUAAGGGUUUCCAAUGAAUUGGGGCGAGGAAAUGCUGAAGCAGCAGUGUUCGCCAUUAAAGUCAUCUUGGGCACCUCAAUUAGCAUUGGAGUUGUCUUUUGGAUCUUGUGCCUAGUUUUCGGUCGACGGAUUGCCUACAUAUUCACUAGCGAGGAAGAUGUCGCGGAAGAGGUUUCAAGCCUCUCAGUUCUCCUUGCCUCCUCUAUUUUACUCAACAGUGUUCAGCCAGUGCUCUCAGGUAAGUAGUGGUUGUUCCACUUCUCAUGACGUGAAUGACAGAAUUAUUUACAGAUUCCUCCUUGCCGACCCAUCCGUUCAUCUCUUGCAGGUGCAGCGGUAGGUUCUGGGACACAAAGUGUGGUUGCCUAUGUUAACAUGUGUUCCUAUUAUGUGAUCGGAGUGCCUCUAGGAGUCGUGCUUGCGUACGUCACCAAGUUGGAAAUUCAGGUAAGAAGGCCUGAACCUGCCCCUGUCUUUCGCGGGGAACCUGACUGUCAUUUGUGUUACAUUUUUGGUUUGAUGGGGCGACACUUCACUAUUCAGAGAAUACUUAGCCAAGAUAAGCUAUUUCUUGGUUUCUGACCAUGCGGAAAUUCCUUGGUUUGACGCCCACAGGGUAUAUGGAUAGGAAUGAUAAUCGGAGUCGCAACUCAGACAGUGGUGCUCAGUUUCAUUACUUACAGAAUGAACUGGGACAAGCAGGUAAAUGCAAGUUUUGGAGCACAUCAGUCACAUGCCUUCACAUGAUAUAUGCUGCAAGAGUUUGAAUUAGCUGGAAAUAUCAGCAAGAUAUCAAGAUUCUAUUUGUUUUAGUCUCCUUUUCGUGAUGAAAGAGUUUUAAAAGCCAAUUACCAUAUUGCUUUCAUUAUAUAGGUGAACAAAGCAACAGAAAAGCUCCAUAGGUUGUUCUUGGAAAGAUCCGAAGACCAUGGUGAGAGCUCUACCACUCUGAACAGCUGAACGGAUGAGUUAAAACUGAAGAGCAUAUGGUUUCAUCCCAGUUUAGGUUUUCGGAUGAGAACAAGUUGCUUCUUCUUUCUCUCUUUUUUGACCUCUGUUAUGACAGCCAUUGAAUAAAUUGAUCCAAUCCCUAUCCGAUUGAUAAAGCUUUCCCACCCCAUUUUUCAGUGAUUGGAAAAAAUUCAUUGUUGAAGAUGGAAAACGUUCAUACUUCAGCCACCUUCAUCUAGUAGUUCUUGCUGUAACCAUUUUUGCACCUACUCGAAAGAAAGCACAUAUUGCAGGUCAUAAUGAUGAUGUAAGAAAGGUCUAGCCCAUCCAACAGCAAAUGAACAUUUGCAGAAUCUUAUAACAGGUUUGACAAAUUAUGACAAUGUAAAGAACAUCCCUCUAGCUCCGAUAGAGGAGUCAUCUAGGAGCGAAGGCAGUCCCAAUAUAAAACGAUAUGCUAGAUGAUUUGAUAGACAAACGGAAGUUUCACAUUUUCUCAGUAUUCUACAGCAAGCACGAUAUUCAUGCAGAGUAAGCGAAGAAGAUGCCGAACAUGAGAUGGGAUCAUUCAAAACUAUAUAUAUAUACAAUCAGUUAUAAAUGACAACUUUGGUAGUUGGUAUGCAAGUAAGUCCCUGAUGCUCGGAACAUCUUCAAGAGAGAGCUCACGCCCCAGCUGCAUUCUUGUUGAUUUCAAGGCAUCCUGGCAAGAAAAGAUAAAUAAAGAGAAGUGUUUGAAGAUGUUUCAAUAAAAGACAGAGGAAAGUUUCAACAGUACCUCAUAAUAGUAACUAGGCCGACAAACAUAAGGAACUUAUCUUUGGUAACUUACAAUAAAUUCCACAUAUGACUACACAAUAAAGACUACUCAAAGCCAUUUUCUCUUCUUUAACCGGUCCAAGAACCUGACCUACUUUACACUCUAUAUGUAAAGCCUCGGAUUUAACUUAUUAGAUAUUGUCCGCUUUGGUAUAUUCCAUAGUGAGUUUCACGAUUUUGUUCUUCGGUGUACAAGCGGCUACUUCCCCGGGAAGUUACCUAUCUUGCUAGUGCUUUAGCCUGGAAUCGCUAAAUUUGUCCUUAAAUCCAGCUUUCGCAACUCUUAGGACUUGUCUUUAUAGAGGCUUGUUACAUGACUCUUACUCAUAAAUUUCUCAUAAAUAUAUCUAACAUUGCAUGGAUGCUCGCAAGGACACUGGCAGACUAUGGUGUCACACCCCAAAAUCAAUAAGAGUGGCGGAUGACAUGACCAUUUUUCCUCCUAAAGAACGCAACCUCAAAACUCCUAAAAUCCUACUCCAAAAAUUGAAAGAUAGAGGAGUGAGCAGCCACAGCUCAACGAGUAGUGCAUCUCUUCUAAGCGGAUCAAGCAUCCAUUAUGCAUAUUUACAAAACCAAAUUGCAACUCUUUUCACCCAAAUUCAAGAUAUUAAAAACACACAGCAAAAAAAUAAGUUACACACGCUUCAAUAUAGCUAUAUUUAUAACAAAAAAAAUCAUUUCAUAAUAACAUCAAAAUAAACAUCAAUGGUCUAAUCCAUUGAUCAAUCUCAUUAAUUCACACACUAAUAGUCCAUUCAAUUAAUUAAUCUUAUGCCACAUAUCAAUGAUCUAAUGAAAUUACACGUCAAUGGUCAAUUCCAACGAUUAAUCUCAAAUUAUACAUCGAUGGUACAUUCCAUCUACCAAACUCAUAUCAUAUGUCAAUGGUCUGCUCCAUUGACCAAUCCGUUACUCAAUAUCAAAUCAUGGUCACGAUACAACUCCUAGUGACGAGGCGACCAAGAUUCCCCCAUUGGCAAUGUCUCCACCUAUUAUUAACCGGUAGUUUGGCCCACAAGGAUAUCCUAGACUAGUAUACGCAUACACACAAGCCCUUUGCUAGGCUUACAACAAUAUUGAGCAUCAAUAUCAAUCCCAAACAACACCAUCCACAAUUCACAAAAUCAAAUCCAUAAAUCAUUUUAUAUAUCACCAAAAGAUUUAGCAACUUAACUCAUCCACCAAAAAUACUUUUCAUAAAACAUCUCAAAUAAUUUCAAAACUCGCAUCAUAAAUCAAUUUUACCAAUCGAAUCAAAUCAAAUACAUUUCAAAAAACUUAUCACAAAUCGAGAUCUAUAUAACAUUCCAUAAACCAUUUCAAAGUCGAGAUUUUCGUAAAAAGGUUUCACAAACCCAAAACAUGUAAUAUUUCUCAACUUCAUUCAUCAAACGAAAUAUAUAUUUCCACAAAAAAGUUCUGACACUACUCAAAUACCAAAACGUAGUAUAUGCCCGAUCCAAAUUUUAUGCAACAAACAUGUUUAUUCAUAACUCAUAAAAUAUCAAAUCUUUAUAGUUUUGAAAACAUAAGUUUAUAUCUUACGAUUAAAUUACAAGCGUUACUUGAAUCGUCAAACUCGCAAUCCUAUCACAUAAAUGAUAAACAACGUUAAAAUCGAGUGAAACAAUACCUCAACUAUGACUUGAUCAAACUAAGCAUGAGCACUUAGAAAAUGACUCCUAUGUGCCAAUAAAUCGCUAAACCAAAUCAAUUACUCGAAGCUGUCCAUAGCGCGAAACUUGAGCAUGAAACUUUAUCAUGCCAUAAUUUUCUCCACCAAACUCCGUUUCAAGCUAACUUAUAGUCAAUGGAAAGCCCAACCAACGUACUACAAGAACCCCAAUUUAACAAACCCAAAAUCAAGCUGAAAAUUAACAAAAAAAAAUACGGCCCGAAGUCCUGGUUGCGCACUGUACAUCAUGCACGAUAAACUUCAAAAUUUUGUUUUGGGCAAAUUGUAAACUCAAAUCAUAAUCCAUAAAAUCCUAAAGCUUCAUAACAUCCUAAAUUAUCAUUUCUACAAAAAUACGUAGCUCAACCACUCAAAAAUCAUACUUCGCCACUUGAUUUUCACAAAAUUUCAAAUUUCAAACCUAGGUCCGAAAUUACUCCGAUUGAAUGAACAGGCGACAUGAGUGCUUACCAGGAAUUACCUUACAUAGUUAAGGUGGCUUGGCGAGGUUGCCAUGAUGAAAACGCACAAACCCCUUUUCUUCUUCUUCUUCCUCUCUUCCUCUUUCUUUCUUUGAGCGCAAGCUCGCUGCUCUCCCUUUCUCUCUCUCCUCCUUUUUCUUUCUCUGUUUCCUUUUAUCUCCUCCUUUUCCCCAUUUUUCUUUUUCUUUUUCUUUCUUCUUUCCUUUUCUUCUCUCUGUUCUUUUUCUUCUUCUCUCCCGAAGACUCUCGGCCUCUUUCCUUCUUCUUUCUCCUUAUUAUAUUUUUGACUGGGUCAAAAGCAGCUCGUCGGCAUGGUUAGGGACACCACGAGGGCCGUAGGGAUAGUGGUGAGGGCUAAUAGGCUUGGCGAGGUGGCUCCAAGGCUUGGCGAGAUCCGUGGGAGCAGCUGGUGCGCCAGGAAACCUCAAGGAAAGCUUCGGGAAGGCUGGAAACUCGAUUGAGAUUUGCAGCUGAGCAAGGGCAGAGGUGCAGCGUCAAAGCUGGUCUGCAGCAGGCCUGCCAGGUUGAGAUGGUAGCUGGCAAGGACUACAGUAAAAUGGCUAGGCCUAGGAAUUGACAGGUGUGGCGGCGAUGCAGGUGGUGCAAUAGCUCGUGCGGGUUGUCGUGGACUAGCAGAGCUUGACUGGCUAGGUGUUGUCUUAAGUUAUCUUGCUAGUUCCAUAAUUUAUUUUUCAAUCAUUUUAACAUCAAUAAUUUUUUUUUAAAUUUCACUUAAGCAAUAAAUACUAUAAUUUUCAAUUAAUUAUUUAAAUGUCAUAAUAUUAAUUAUAAGACAAAUAAAUGUUUGAAAAAAUUCUCAUGGUGUCCUUUUUCUUGAAGAAAUAAUAAAAAAAAUAUUUUAUGAUUUCAUGUGGAUCCAGCAGGUUCAAAGUAGGAUGAGCAUGAUUCCCGGAUAAAAUCGGAAAUGAGGAACCGAACCGGUUCAUAAUUCUACAGGGACCGAUUCCGAUUUCCGGUUGUCCUCUCCCGUUCUCUGCCUUUGCCUCGUCCCCGACGUCGCUCGGCCUCGACGCCACCGCUGGACGCCGCCGCCGGACGCCGCUUGUCCCGCCGCUGGACGCCAGUCGCUCCCUGCUCGCCCCGCCCUUGCCUCCCUAGACGUUGUCACCCCCGCUCGCCUCGACGUCGCCGCUGGAUGCCGCUUGCCCUCGACACCGCCACUGGACGUGGCUCGAUCCCCCGGUGGACGCCGCUCGUCCGCUCGCCCAGCCGCCCUCGACGCCGCUCGCCCGGUCACCCCCGACGCCGCUCGCCCCCGACGCCGCUUGCCCAGUCGCCCCCGGCGUUGCUCGCCCCCUGACGCCUAAGCACAUUAGAUGCCUCCCGCUUGGUCAGUCCUUUACAACAAUUUGGUACCAUUUAUUGGAAGAAUCGAGUCAAAUAAUACACUUGAAGAUAGUUUGGGAUUGUGAUCAUAUCAUGAAUUUUCAUCAUGGGCUUGUAUCAUGUGAUGGGGAAUCUUCAAGUUGAAUAUCAGAUGAGAGAGGUCCUCAAAGAUUUCUGUGGCACUUCUGCAUCAUUGUAGUCCCAAGUGCUUAUUGUUUUUAUUUUCUUUCAGGUACCCCUUUUAACAUAUUGAAGGAAUUUGAUGGAGAAACAGUAACAGAGGUUGUCCGUCCCUGCCUUGCAAGGAUGAGAUGCCGUGUUAAGAGAUUUACGAAAAACAUUUUUUUGUGGAGAAGAACCCAACUCUAGGUAAGCUUUUUGAACCUGAUGAUUUUAGUUGGAAAAAAAUUGGGAAACUUUGAUGAUGAUCAGAUCAGCCAUUUCAUAAUGCUGCGAUUUGAUUUAGAAGACAAUAUGAAAUGACGAAUGUGAAAUGUUGAUCAAAUUAGUACUUUUGAGUAUCCGAUUGCUUAUGAUUGCUUUUGCAGUUAAUGUUCCUGUCAAGAACUUGGAAUUGAAGGACUACAUUCCAUUACCCACACCAGGAGAUGAGGAGAGGCUGCGAUCGUAGUAUGAUUUGAUUGCCAACGUUGUUCAUGAUGGCAAACCUGGUGAAGGUUCUUACAGGGUUUUUGUUCGGCGGAAGUUCGAAGAACUUUGGUAAAUCUCUCUCUCCCUCUCUGUGAUUUUUGGGGAAAUAAGAGUGCAAUUGUUGUGUAGAUUGACAAGUCUUACAUUAUGCUUUAGGUAUGAGAUGUAGGAUCUGCAUGUUUCAGAAACGCUUCCUCAUAUGGUUGCACUCUCAGAGGCAUACAUGCAGAUAUAUGAGCAGCAUCAGUAGGACAAUUUUGGUGGCAAAUUUUUUCAGUGCCUUCUGCUUUGCAACUUUGAGACCCCAAUGGUGCUGGACUUCAGAUCUUCUAAAAAGAAGUUCGAUCUGUUUGUGAGACUACCUGUCAGAUCUGUCUCCUUGGAGCAGCUAGGGUUUUUGAUGAACCUUAAAUUUAGGAUAUCUUGCUGUGCUGAGAUGACUGAUGGCGUAAACCUUGUAUUCUGUUGACUGUAUAUGAUCAUUACUGAAACCUUAAGCUUAGGUUACUUUGAGUAAUUAAAAAGGGUGGAUGCAGUGUAUCUCUAAUAUCUAUGAUAUCUACAGUAAUUAUAUAGUUCUCAGGUUUGUUUACCUUUCCGUGUUUUUCAGUUGGCUGCCUUGUGCAAUGGAAAGGCAAACAUAUUGAUAUCUGAUGUUUUCUCUUUUGUUUCUAUUCUUUUUCACUAGCAUGUACUUCCUGGUGACUGAUUUCAAAUAGACUAUUGAGGCAAACUUGCAUAUGUUCUUGCUGGUCCGUCAGAUUCUUCUAAACUUUGCGCUUGUCUACCUGUUAAGCAUAUCGGUGAAAUGACACGACCACUGAGUCUGAGUCUUCACGACCUCAAUGAGUGGACUCUGAGUCUUCUUUCUCAUUUGCAGAUGCUGCCCACCAAUCAAAGCCAACUUGAAUAGUUGAGGUUGCAUAGGAAUUUCCCUCAUGCUCUUAUGCUUUUCGGCAUCAGAGUGAGUCGAGUUUUAUUUGCAACUACAUGCUCUUUUUCUUUUACAGGCACUGUACUUUUUGCCCUGUUCUUUCCAUCAUCGUUUCGCUAAUUCUUUUUAUCAUAUUUUAUUUGACAGGAAGAUGAUUUAGAUGAGUCAACAACUACACCAGGUUCUAAUUUUGCACACAUUUCUGUUGUUUAGUUUGAAUGGUAACUUCAUAAAUUUGAAACGACCUAAGUAUCAGCUUCUAUUUGGCUUGUUGAUUCUGUCAUGCAAGUAUCAAGCCUAGAUUUUGAGAGGUUUUUAGCCUUUGCAGUGUGCAGGAGACUAUGAUGGAUGUUGUCAUAGGUUCAUAAAGUUCAUAGAGAAUUCAAUUUUAUUAUGUAGUAUGCUGUUGUUACUUUUUUUUUAAUCUGAUAUAGCAAAACUAAGUUUGCUUGUAAACUUAAAGAGUGGUUUGGAAUAUCACAAUGCUGGCUUAUAACAUCAAACGCAGCUUUUCCUUAAGAUCUUACCCAAUGGCGGGAUUGAGCAAUUGUUGCAUAGUUUACCCUGAAAAUGAAACCAAAAAAAUGAGGAAAAAAAAAAAAAACCUGUUGGAACCUGGAACCAACCCCGGAACCUGUGACAGGGUAGGUUCCAGGUUCUUGGUUCUGACGAGUAGGUUCCAGGUUCCAAAAAAUGAGGAACCUGUACCCGAGGGUAGGUUACAGGUUCCAGAACCUGUAAGGAACUAGGAACCACUCACCCCUAGGUUCAAGUUGUACAAUGACUAAUAGGCUCAGGAAAAAGAUCUUUUUUGUCAUCCUAUGAAUUGUGUUUCUGUGUAUCCGCAAUAUGAACGUUCCCGAAGAAUUUCACGCUUCGCGUUCUUGUGGCAGGAAUCAUGAGUGACGACAGGAUGGAGGACAGGCUUCUUGGUACAGAAGCAAAAGACGAAGGUAGUCUAUUAGGGAAGGUCUGGGCGGAGUCAAAGAAAAUAUGGAGAGUUACCUUCCCAGCAAUGUUGGCCGGAGUGACUACUUAUGGAGUCUUCGUAGUGACGCAAGCAUUCGUGGGGCACAUCAGUGAUACAGAGCUCGCCGCUUAUGCGCUCAUUCAAAUCAUCGGCCUGCGAUUUGCCAACGGAAUAAUUGUAAGGAUUAGAAUCCCCUCUUUUCCAAUUCUGAUCAUGAGUAAAUAAUCUGAUGAAUAUGGACCGGUGUUGAUCAUGUUUCCAAGAAACUAUCGAAUUUACACUUUUUUUCCCCUAAACUUCUGCAAAUUAUGCAAUAUCGGCGAUCGAGAGAGGGGUUUCAAUUAAAUAUUCAAUAUUUGGGUGUAUAGGCUGUGAACUUUGCAAAUGAACUUUUUGAUCCUGCAGUUGGGCAUGUCAAGUGCAACUGAAACAUUAUGCGGGCAAGCAUUUGGUGCAGAGCAAUACCACAUGUUAGGCAUUUACUUGCAAAGAUCUUGGAUCAUCAAUCUGGUCACGGCAACCAUCUUGGUCCCGGUCUUUGUCUAUAGCUCGUCCAUUUUCAAGCUUCUUGGUAUAGAAGAUGAAGUAGCUGAAGCCACUGGGUACAUUGCCCUGUGGUUCAUCCCGAUCAUCUACUACUAUGUCUUCUUCUUUACCAUCCAAAUGUUCUUGCAGAGCCAGCUCAAGAACGCCAUCAUAGGAUGGCUCUGCACCAUCUCAUUCGCAAUUCAUGUCUUGUUGUCUUGGCUCUUUGUGUACGUACUAGAUUGGGGAAUCCCAGGAGCAAUGAGUGCGCUGAUAAUAUCAAGUUGGUUAGGGGUGAUUGGGGAGUUUGUGUACAUGUUUGGAGGCUGGUGCGAAAGUACUUGGACGGGUUUCACCUGGGCUGCAUUUGCCAAUUUAUGGCCUGUCAUAAAGCUUUCCAUGUCCUCUGGCAUUAUGCUGUGGUAGACUUUCUUUCUAUCGAAUUUCCUUCAUGCCUCUGAGAAAUUCCAGGUGAAUGAACUCACAUGCUCAAUAUAUUACAAGAGAGAAAUUACACAGUUUAAAUCUGUUUCUCAGGAGUUGAAUGAACGGAUUGAAAAAAGAAAAUUUCUUCAUUAAGGCUAGAAUUGCCUUGAUCACAAUCCUAAGUUUGUGUGCUGGCGUCAGUUCACAACAACUGAAAUACCAUGGCACAACUCUAUUGUCUUUGGGGAAGCACUGGCCGAUAUGAUUGGCGAUAUUUAAUGGUUAUUCAUGUUGUUUUCAUCCUCACAAAUGUAUCGUUCCUUACUCUGACCAUUUUCUUUGUCCUUGAUCGAAACAGCUUGGAAUUAUGGUACACUAGUGUCUUAGUCCUCUUGGCAGGAUACAUGACAAAUGCCACUGCUGCAAUAUCUGCCUUCUCGAUUUGGUAUGAUAGCAUCGAAUAAGGGGUCUUGUUUCUUCUACUUUGAGGUAAGCGGCCAUGAAAGUGAUGAACCAAAUUUGAUUUUUUUUUUUUCAGCCUCAACAUCUCAGGUUGGGAGCUCACGAUAUGCCUUGGUUUCCUAAAUGGAGCUAGGUAUGGCUUAUGAUGAGCCUGUGCAAAUUUUUGAAUUGCUCUGUGCUUGCUUGACACUUUGUGACUCGAUCCUUUCAAUUCCUACAGUGUAAGGGUUUCCAAUGAAUUGGGGCGAGGAAAUGCUGAAGCAGCAAUGUUCGCCAUUAAAGUUAUCUUGGGCACCUCAAUUAGCAUUGGAGUUGUCUUUUGGAUCUUGUGCCUAGUUUUCGGUCGACAGAUUGCCUACACAUUCACUAGCGAGGAAGAUGUCGCGGAAGAGGUUUCAAGCCUCUCAGUUCUCCUUGCCUUCUCUAUUUUACUCAACAGUGUUC
RNAcentral lists this long non-coding RNA (9791 nucleotides) under Eucalyptus grandis. Its description in RNAcentral is "long non-coding RNA (EGRA_LNC000299)". The record is from RNAcentral. Lineage: Eukaryota; Viridiplantae; Streptophyta; Magnoliopsida; Myrtales; Myrtaceae.